AUGGCAGCUGAAGUGUCAGUGGGGAUUCGAAGAGAUCUUGUAUUUCCCGCAGUGGAUCCUUGCGCUCUAAGGGCUACAAAGCAAGACUGCUUUUUUUUUUUCCCUGUGCAAAAGGUGCUGGUUUAUGUGCCUGUAUUGCUUCCUGAACAAUAGGAAUAAUGAAAGAAGGUUAAGAAAUAGGAUGAAGCGUCGCUGUGAACUGUACCAUGAAAGCCCCUCUUUGUGCCUCUCCAGUUUGCUGCAGAGGGCAGAACUGGGGUGUGGAGACCCAUUCCUUGUGAAUUGUUUUCUUCCAGAAGAAAAGUUCGCAGGAACCAGAGCCCAGCUGAAACCCGGAUCAAGCUCCAGUAAAGGUUUGAUGGGCGUAUAUUGUGUAUUUUCAAACUCAGUGCAUCUUGUUGGCGUGUCACGCGGGCAACCCUGACCGUACUGCGCUCUCGCACCACGUGCCAGUCCCUUUGAUGUUCUGUAUUUGCCUCGGGGGGCUCAGUCACCUGCAGACACGCACGCUCCCUCAGGAACACGCGUGUCAGCGUGUGGCCGCAGAGAGAAGGGGAGGACGCCUGGGUGUGUCACCGAGCACCUGGGCCAGGCCCCGCGGGGCUGAGGAGAGGGGGGCUCUG
Molecule: long non-coding RNA, 623 nt
Organism: Athene cunicularia (burrowing owl)
Lineage: Eukaryota; Metazoa; Chordata; Aves; Strigiformes; Strigidae
Source: Ensembl